This 118-nucleotide ribosomal RNA is filed under the name Pteropus alecto (black flying fox). Lineage: Eukaryota; Metazoa; Chordata; Mammalia; Chiroptera; Pteropodidae. The record is from RNAcentral.
CCCUACGGCCCUGCCACCCUGAACACGCCCGAUCCCGUCUGACCUCGGAGCUAAGCAGGGGCAGGCCUGGUAGGUACUUGGAUGGGAGACCACCUAGGAAGACCGGGUGCUGUAGGUA